AUGGAUCCGGCUCUUCGGCGCCGCUCCCGCCUCCCUAUCCACCUCCUGCUGGUGGCCGUCACUUUACUCGCCGCCCUGGCCGCGCGAUCCGACGCGGAGGUCAUCACCCUCACCGAAGAGACCUUCUCCGACAAGAUAAAGGAGAAGGACACAGUAUGGUUUGUGCAAUUCUGCGUCCCUUGGUGUAAGCACUGCAAGAGCCUAGGAACUCUUUGGGAGGACCUCGGAAAGGUUAUCGAAGGUACGGAUGAAAUUGAGAUCGGAGAAGUUGAUUGCGGUGCAAGCAAACCAGUCUGCUCAAAGGUGGACAUUCAUUCAUACCCAACAUUCAAGGUGUUCUAUGAUGGCGAAGAAGUUGCAAAAUAUAAAGGGCCUAGGGACGUAGAGUCUCUCAAGACCUUUGUGUUGAACGAAGCUGAGAAAGCAGGAGAGGUGAGGCUUGAAGAUGAGCUAUAG
This 456-nucleotide ribosomal RNA is filed under the name Triticum aestivum (bread wheat). RNAcentral's name for it is "partial small subunit ribosomal RNA". Lineage: Eukaryota; Viridiplantae; Streptophyta; Magnoliopsida; Poales; Poaceae. The record is from RNAcentral.